RNA transcript from Crotalus tigris (Tiger rattlesnake), 5883 nucleotides. It is a transcript of the gene named lysine demethylase 6A, with no coding region annotated. The transcript is spliced from 32 exons. NCBI's taxonomy places the organism in Eukaryota, Metazoa, Chordata, Lepidosauria, Squamata, Viperidae. The record is from RefSeq and is a predicted model, not a curated record.
GUGGGGUUCGCUGUGUGACACAAUUACAACAACUUUGUUCAGCUGCUGGGGAAGUUUGUACAGGCAACAAAUACACCCCUCGCGGGCGGGCGCGGGUCCCUGUCACCUCGACUCCACUCACUUUUCGUCGCUGGGGCUGGCGGCUCAGCAGCGAUGUAAACACUGCUCCGUCACCGCCAGCAGCAGCAGCCGCAGCCUCCUCCUCCUUCUCCUCCCACUCCCCCCCCCCAGUCUUCAGCGCUGGGGCUCCCUUCCUGCUCCCUCCUCCUCCGAUCAGCGGGGCUUCCCCCCGCCUUUCUCUCCCUCCCCCUCCCUGCCGGCUGUUGUUGUUGUAAUAAAAGUUGUGGUGGUGCGUGUGUGUCGGGCACCCCGCCCGGCACUGGGGGGGUGUUGGGGCGCGCGGGGAGGGGGGCUUGCGAUCGUGAGUUAAUUACGUUGCGUUUCCAUGAAAUCGUGUGGAGUGUCGCUCGCCGCUGCCGCCGCCGCCGCCGCUGCCUCUACUGCUUUCGGUGAUGAGGAAAAGAAAAUGGCGGCGGGGAAAGCGAGCGGCCAGAGCGAGGAGGACUUCGCCAGCCUGACAGCGGAGGAAAGAGAAGUCCUCUCUGGCUUCGACAGCCGACUCUUCGGAUUUUUAAGGCUUCAUGAAGAUGGCGCCAGAACGAAGGCCUUGCUGUUAAAGGCUGUUGGCUGCUAUGAAUCGUUAAUAUUAAAAGCAGAAGGAAAAGUUGAAUCAGAUUUCUUUUGCCAGUUAGGUCACUUCAACCUUUUAUUGGAGGAUUAUCCAAAAGCAUUAUCUGCAUACCAGAGGUACUACAGUUUACAAUCUGACUACUGGAAGAAUGCUGCCUUUUUGUAUGGCCUUGGCUUGGUCUACUUCCAUUACAACGCAUUUCAGUGGGCAAUUAAAGCAUUUCGGGAAGUGCUUUAUGUUGAUCCCAGUUUUUGCCGCGCCAAGGAAAUUCAUUUACGACUUGGGCUUAUGUUCAAAGUGAAGACAGAUUUUGAGUCUAGUUUUAAGCAUUUUCAGUUAGCUUUGAUUGAUUGCAAUCCUUGCACUUUGUCCAAUGCUGAAAUUCGAUUUCAUGUUGCCCAUUUAUAUGAAACCCAGAAGCAUCCAGUUGAGGAGGAGCAUCCACUGGAUCCAACUCACUUCUGGGAACAGAAGAGGCUCUUCCAUUUGUGGAGCUGCAGCCCUGGAUCCAACCCAAGAAAAUAUCAUUUGGCAAAGAAGGAAUAUGAACAACUUUUGCAGUCUGAAAAUCUUCCUGCACAAGUGAAAGCAACUGUGUUACAACAGUUAGGCUGGAUGCAUCAUACAGUGGAUCAAUUAGGAGAUAAAGCCACCAAGGAAAACUAUGCUAUUCAGUGUCUCCAAAAGUCUCUAGAGGCAGAUCCAAACUCUGGCCAAUCCUGGUAUUUCCUUGGAAGGUGCUAUUCAAGUAUUGGGAAAGUUCAGGAUGCCUUUAUUUCUUAUAGGCAAUCUAUUGAUAAAUCAGAAGCAAGUGCAGACACAUGGUGUUCUAUAGGUGUGCUGUACCAACAACAGAAUCAGCCUAUGGAUGCAUUACAGGCCUAUAUCUGUGCUGUACAAUUGGACCAUGGCCAUGCUGCAGCCUGGAUGGAUCUUGGCACCCUCUAUGAAUCCUGCAAUCAGUCUCAGGAUGCCAUUAAAUGCUACUUAAAUGCAACCAGAAGCAAAAACUGUAGUAAUACCUCUGCACUUGCAGCACGAAUAAAGUAUUUACAGGCUCAGUUGUGUAACCUUCCACAAGGUAGUCUACAGAAUAAAACUAAAUUACUUCCUAGUAUUGAGGAGGCAUGGAGCCUACCAAUCCCCGCAGAGCUUACCUCCAGGCAGGGUGCCAUGAACACAACACAGCAGGCUUGUAAACCUCAUCAAAAUACUGAACCUGUACUAGGCCUCAGUCAGACACCUAUUUCACAGCAGUUGCCACUACACAUGAUUCCUUCUAGCCAUGUAGAUGACCUAUCCAGUCCAGCCAAGAGGAAAAGACCAUCUAGUCCAACCAAGAACACUUUAGAGACUUGGAGCAGUGGCCAUACAGUGUCACAUCCUCCUCCGGUACAGCAACAAAUACAUUCUUGGUGCUUGACACCACAGAAAUUACAGCACUUGGAACAGCUGCGUGCAAAUAGAAAUAGUUUAAAUCCAGCACAGAAGCUUAUGCUGGAACAGCUGGAGAGUCAGUUUGUCUUGAUGCAGCAACACCAGCAGAUGAGGCAGAUGGGAGUUGCACAGGUACGAUCUACUGGAAUUGCUAAUGGGCCAACAGCUGACUCAUCACUGCCUACAAACUCUGUCUCUGGUCAGCAGCCACAGGUUGCUCUAACCAGAGUGCCUAACAUCACACAGCACGGAAUCCGUCCAACCUGUCUUGGGCAGCCUAUGGCAAAUGGACCCUUUCCAGCAGGCUCAGUUCCCUGCAGCACAGCCAGAACGCUGAGUAGUACAGACACUAUUUUGAUAGGCAAUAAUCACAUAACAGGAAGUGGAAGUAAUGGAAACGUGCCUUACCUGCAGCGAAACGCACUCUCUCUACCUCAUAACCGCACAAACCUGACCAGCAGCGCAGAGGAGCCGUGGAAAAAACAACUAUCUAACUCCACUCAGGGGCUUCAAAAAAGUCAGAGUUCACAUUUGGCAGGUCCUAAUAGUGAACGACCUCUCUCUUCCACUGGGCCUUCCCAGCAUCUCCAGGCAGCUGGCACUGGUAUUCAAAAUCAAAAUGGACAUCCUACCAUGCCUAGCAAUUCAGUAACACAGGGGGCUGCUCUCAAUCACCUCCCCUCUCACACUGCUACCUCAGGUGGACAACAAGGCAUUACCUUAACCAAAGAGAGCAAGCCUUCAGGAAAUACAUCAGCAGUGCCUGACAUAAACAGGCAUUCUGGAGAGACUCUUAACAGCACUGCCAGUGUAGAAGGACUUCCUAAUCAUGUCCAUCAGGUGACGGCAGAUGCUGUUUCUAGCCCUAGCCAUGGAGAUUCAAAGUCACCAGGUUUACUUAGUUCAGACAAUCCUCAGCUCUCUGCCUUGUUGAUGGGAAAAGCCAAUAACAAUGUGGGUACUGGAACCUGUGACAAAGUCAAUAACAUCCAUCCAACUGUUCAUACAAAGACUGAGAAUUCUGUUGCCUCCUCACCAUCUUCAGCCAUUUCCACAGCAACACCGUCUCCAAAAUCUACUGAACAGACUACCACAAACAGUGUUACCAGCCUUAACAGCCCUCAUAGUGGACAUGCAGUUAAUGGAGAAGCAUUGGAGGACUCUCAGAGCCCCAUAAAAACCAAUCCUCCUCUUACUGGACACAAACCUAAUUCCCCGAUCAUACCAUCUAUGUCGGUAUCUAUAUAUCCAAGUUCUGCAGAGGUCCUGAAAGCAUGCAGGAAUUUGGGGAAAAACGGCCUAUCAAACAGUAGCAUUUUAUUGGAUAAAUGUCCUCCUCCAAAACCACCACCACCUCCAUAUCCUCCCUUGCCAAAGGAUAAGUUGAAUCCACCUACACCUAGUAUUUAUCUGGAAAAUAAGCGUGAUGCUUUCUUCCCACCUUUACACCAAUUUUGUACAAAUCCAAACAAUCCUGUUACUGUAAUACGUGGCCUUGCUGGAGCUCUUAAAUUAGAUCUGGGACUCUUCUCUACCAAAACUUUGGUAGAAGCUAAUAAUGAACACUUGGUUGAAGUAAGGACACAAUUAUUGCAACCAUCAGAUGAAAACUGGGAUUCUACUGGAACAAAAAAUACAUGGCAUUGUGAAAGCAGUAAAUCUCAGUCUACAAUUGCUAAAUAUGCACAAUACCAGGCCUCCUCAUUCCAGGAAUCCUUAAGGGAGGAAAAUGAAAAAAAGACUCAUCAUAAGGACCAUUCAGAUAGUGAGUCAACAUCUUCUGAUAAUUCUGGGAAGAGGAAAAGGGGACCUUUUAAAACUAUCAAAUUUGGGACCAACGUUGAUUUAUCAGAUGACAAGAAAUGGAAGCUACAGCUACAUGAACUUACAAAGCUUCCUGCUUUUGUCCGAGUAGUAUCAGCAGGAAACCUUCUUAGUCAUGUUGGUCAUACAGUCUUGGGAAUGAAUACCGUUCAGUUGUAUAUGAAAGUCCCAGGCAGCAGAACAUCAGGUCAUCAAGAAAAUAACAACUUUUGCUCAGUCAAUAUAAAUAUAGGUCCAGGUGAUUGUGAAUGGUUUGUUGUUCCAGAAAGUUACUGGGGUAUCAUGAAUGAUUUCUGUGAAAAAAACAAUAUGAAUUUUCUAAUGGGUUCUUGGUGGCCUAAUCUGGAAGAUUUGUAUGAAGCCAAUGUUCCAGUUUAUAGGUUUAUUCAACGACCGGGAGAUCUAGUGUGGAUAAAUGCUGGGACUGUCCAUUGGGUUCAGGCUGUUGGCUGGUGUAAUAAUAUUGCCUGGAAUGUUGGCCCUCUUACAGCUUGUCAAUAUAAAUUAGCUGUGGAACGGUACGAGUGGAAUAAAUUGCAAAGUGUGAAGUCAGUAGUACCUAUGGUUCAUCUUUCUUGGAACAUAGCACGAAAUAUCAAAGUACCAGAUCCAAAGCUUUUUGAAAUGAUCAAGUAUUGCCUGUUGAGAACUCUCAAGCAAUGUCAGACUUUGAGGGAAGCUCUAAUUGCUGCAGGAAAGGAGAUUGUAUGGCAUGGGAGAACAAAAGAAGAACCAGCUCAUUAUUGUAGCAUAUGUGAGGUAGAAGUCUUCAAUUUGCUUUAUGUUACAAAUGAGAGUAAUUCUCAAAAAACCUAUGUUGUAAAUUGCCUAGACUGUGCACGAAAGAUAAGUGGGAACCUGGAAAACUUUGUGGUGCUAGAACAAUACAGAAUGGAGGAUCUAAUGCAAAUCUAUGACCAAUUUACAUUAUUCAACAUGGGCUAUUUUCAAGGCAGAUACACCUGUUAAUCUAUCUCAGCUUUUCCAGUGAAGGAAAUACAUUAGAAGUUGUGUCAUUGUUGAAGUCAUUGAGGAAUCUGGCACCUCCAUUGCCAUCAUCUUCAUCUUGACAUAUUUCCAAGGACAUUUAUAUAAAAUCUUUUCUGAUAUUCAGGAAGUGACCCAGUUCUGCACCAUGGAUUUUUGUAGCGAUCCCAUAAGGCUGCUGGCUGAAAGCUGUGUCUAUGCAACCUUCCAAGUGUGGAGUGUCAACCAACUGGACAGGAGAGAGCACAGCUCCUACUCCAGAAUUUUAAAAAAUAGAAAGCUCAUUCAGCUGAAUUGAAAAAAAAAUCCCAUGUUUUGUAUAUAUCUGACAAAACUGGCAACAUUAUACAGACUACUGACUUGAAGACCACCUUUUUUCUAUUUCUCUGUUUCUGGGCUGAUGAAUUGGUUUCAUCAAAUUCUCUAUUCCACUCCCCUUGAAAGAUUUUUUUUCCCCUCCUUCUUCUUGGAAAAGUACUGGCUUAGCUGGUCCUUUCUAUGUAAGGUAGUUAGAAUUUUAUGUCUUUCUUUGGGCUACUUUGUUUUUUAAUGUGAAACUUAGGUGAUACUUUUUUUUCUACUGCUUUUAUGUUAUUCUAUCUUGUUUUGAAACCAUGAUGGUUACUUUUUCUUUCCUAAAUAAAAUUUUAAAAAAAUUAACAGCCAAGUCACAAAGAUAAAUGGGUUGCACAUAGACUAAAGAAUAAACUUCAGAUUUGUGAUUUUGUUUCUAAUCUUGAUGUAAAUUUACACUAUUUAUAAAUACAUAUUUAUUGCUUGAAAAUAUUUGUGAAUGGAAUGCUGUUAUUUUUUCCAGAUUACCUGCCAUUGAAAUUUUAAGGAGUUCUGUAAUUUCAAACAUUACUCCUAUUACAUUUUCUAUAUGUAAAUAAAACUGCUUAGCAUUGUACAGAAACUUUUAUUAAAAUUGUUUAAUGUUUAAA